GGUUUCUUUUUAGUGAUUUUUCCAAACCCCUUUGUGCAAAAAUCAUUA
This 48-nucleotide unclassified non-coding RNA is filed under the name synthetic construct. The record is from RNAcentral.